GGCUCAAAGCAAAGUAAACGAAAGGUAACCUCCAGCCCUCGAGCCCUGCUCAGAGGGGUCAGAGAAAAUGAGUGCUGUGGUCAUGUGGUUGGCAAGGAUACUGGAGUGGGUUGCCAUUUCCUCCUCCAGAGGAUCUUCCUGACCCAAGGAUCAAACCCGCGUCUCCUGCACUGCAGGCGGAUUCUUCACCACGGAGCCACCUGGGAAGUCCCAAACAGGGCUGAUGAUAGUUCAUAUCUUAUACGGCAGUUGUGAGGAUUACAUGAAAAUAAACAAACAACAAACCCCACAAAGAAUGGACUGUAGCCCGCCAGGCUCCUCUGUCCCUGGAACUCUCCAGGCAAGAAUAACGAGUUGAAUAGACCAUAGCCCGCCAGCCUCUUCCGUCCCUGGGACUCUCCAGGCAAGAACACUGGAGCCGGCUGCUGGGCCACCUCGGCGGUCCCCGGCAGGAGGCUCUGGGGUCCGCGAUCAACUCGAGCCCGCCGCGCCGUCGCCGGCGUCCAGCAGGGGGCGCUGCACCCCGGCUCGCCGGCCCUCUCUUCCCCGCCGAGGCCGCCGAGACGCCGGCCAGUCGGGGAGCGGGUCUGCGCGCGCACGUUCUC
Long non-coding RNA from Bos taurus (domestic cattle), 605 nucleotides. The record is from Ensembl. Lineage: Eukaryota; Metazoa; Chordata; Mammalia; Artiodactyla; Bovidae.